Molecule: ribosomal RNA, 253 nt
Filed under: uncultured bacterium
Lineage: Bacteria
Description: partial 16S ribosomal RNA
Rfam family: Bacterial small subunit ribosomal RNA
Source: RNAcentral
UACGAAGGGGGCGAGCGUUGUUCGGAUUUACUGGGCGUAAAGGGCGCGCAGGCGGCCGGCCAAGUCAGGCGUGAAAGCCCCGGGCUUAACCUGGGAAUUGCGUCUGGGACUGGUUGGCUAGAGAUCGGGAGAGGAGAGUGGAAUUCCCAGUGUAGAGGUGAAAUUCGUAGAUAUUGGGAAGAACACCAGUGGCGAAGGCGGCUCACUGGCCCGAUACUGACGCUGAGGCACGAAAGCGUGGGGAGCAAACAAG